RNAcentral lists this unclassified non-coding RNA (211 nucleotides) under plant metagenome. Its description in RNAcentral is "partial contains small subunit ribosomal RNA, internal transcribed spacer 1, and 5.8S ribosomal RNA". The record is from RNAcentral.
UUUCCGUAGGUGGACCUGCGGAAGGAUCAUUCAUAAUAAAGUGUUUUAUGACACUUUUUAAAAAUCCAUAUCCACCUUGUGUGCAAUGUUAGAUCUCGUCAAUCUUGGCGAGAUUUUUAUACAUCAACUCAUUCUUUAACUAAUUUGUCUGAAAAAUAUUAUGAAUACUUAAUUCAAAAUACAACUUUCAACAACGGAUCUCUUGGCUCUC